UAUUUGUUUUUAGCCAAUUCUAAGCCUCAUAAAAAGUCGAUGCUCAUAUAAAGAGGAUUCGAUUCAGUCGUUUAUACCUCUCAAUAAAACUUGGAUCUAUCGCUAAUAGAGCUGGGCCCCAUUGAGGCAGAGGAGGAGGUGGAGGAUCUGACAAGUCCCCGCAUGUAGGAACAGAGGGAGGAUCCGAAAGGUCCCUCCUUUCUUCUCCAACUUGCUGACCAGUAACGAGUCUCUCCAC
RNAcentral lists this long non-coding RNA (238 nucleotides) under Carica papaya (papaya). RNAcentral's name for it is "long non-coding RNA (CPAP_LNC008440)". The record is from RNAcentral. Lineage: Eukaryota; Viridiplantae; Streptophyta; Magnoliopsida; Brassicales; Caricaceae.